This 433-nucleotide ribosomal RNA is filed under the name uncultured bacterium. RNAcentral's name for it is "partial 16S ribosomal RNA". It matches the Rfam family "Bacterial small subunit ribosomal RNA", at positions 29 to 507 of the family's 1533-position model. The record is from RNAcentral.
AACGAACGCUGGCGGCAUGCCUAACACAUGCAAGUCGAACGAGACCUUCGGGUCUAGUGGCGCACGCGUGCGUAACGCGUUGGAUCCUGCCCUGAGGUUCGGAAUAACUCCCCGAAAGGGGUGCUAAUACCGGAUAAUGUCUUCCGACCAAAGAUUUAUCGCCUUUGGAUGGGCUCGCGUCGUAUUAGCUAGUUGGUAGGGUAAAAGCCUACCAAUGCGACGAUCCAUAGAUGGUCAGAGAGGAUGAUCAGCCACACUGGGACUGAGACACGGCCCAGACUACUACGGGAGGCAGCAGUGGGGAAUAUUGGAAAAUGGGCGGAAGCCUGAUCCAGCAAUGACGCGUGAGUGAUGAAGGCCUUAGGGUUGUAAAGCUCUUUUACACGGGAUGAUAAUGACAGUACCGGGAGAAUAAGCUCCGGCUAACUCCGUG